CCUACGGGAGGCAGCAGUAGGGAAUCUUUCACAAUGGGCGAAAGCCUGAUGGAGCAACGCCGCGUGCAGGAUGAAGGCCUUCGGGUUGUAAACUGCUUUUAUAAGCGAGAAAUAUGAUGGUAACUUAUGAAUAAGGAUCGGCUAACUACGUGCCAGCAGCCGCGGUCAUACGUAGGAUCCGAGCAUUAUCCGGAGUGACUGGGUGUAAAGAGUUGCGUAGGUGGCAUAAUAAGUAGCUAGUGAAAUCUGGUGGCUCAACCAUUCAGACUAUUAGCUAAACUGUUAAGCUCGAGACCGUUAGGGGUAACUGGAAUUUCUAGUGUAGGAGUGAAAUCCGUAGAUAUUAGCAGGAACACCAAUAGCGUAGGCAGGUUGCUGGGACGGUUCUGACACUAAGGCACGAAAGCGUAGGGAGCAAACGGGAUUAGAUACCCCAGUAGUC
RNAcentral lists this ribosomal RNA (442 nucleotides) under uncultured bacterium. RNAcentral describes it as "partial 16S ribosomal RNA". It matches the Rfam family "Bacterial small subunit ribosomal RNA", at positions 338 to 795 of the family's 1533-position model. The record is from RNAcentral.